UUAAACUGAAGAGUUUGAUCAUGGCUCAGAUUGAACGCUGGCGGCAGGCCUAACACAUGCAAGUCGAGCGGUAACAGAUCCAGCUUGCUGGAUGCUGACGAGCGGCGGACGGGUGAGUAAUGCAUAG
Molecule: ribosomal RNA, 127 nt
Filed under: Halomonas sp. 15WGF
Lineage: Bacteria; Pseudomonadati; Pseudomonadota; Gammaproteobacteria; Oceanospirillales; Halomonadaceae
Description: partial 16S ribosomal RNA
Rfam family: Bacterial small subunit ribosomal RNA
Source: RNAcentral